Molecule: ribosomal RNA, 253 nt
Filed under: uncultured bacterium
Lineage: Bacteria
Description: partial 16S ribosomal RNA
Rfam family: Bacterial small subunit ribosomal RNA
Source: RNAcentral
UACGUAGGUGGGAAGCGUUAUCCGGAAUUAUUGGGCGUAAAGCGCGCGCAGGCGGUUUUUUAAGUCUGAUGUGAAAGACCCCGGCUCAACCGGGGCAGGUCAUUGGAAACUGGGAAACUUGAGUGCAGAAGAGGAAAGCGGAAUUCCACGUGUAGCGGUGAAAUGCGUAGAUAUGUGGAGGAACACCAGUGGCGAAGGCGGCUUUCUGGUCUGUAACUGACGCUGAGGCGCGAAAGCGUGGGGAGCAAACAGG